This is a long non-coding RNA of Acinonyx jubatus (cheetah), 5516 nucleotides long. RefSeq lists it as uncharacterized. The transcript is spliced from 5 exons. The record is from RefSeq and is a predicted model, not a curated record. NCBI's taxonomy places the organism in Eukaryota, Metazoa, Chordata, Mammalia, Carnivora, Felidae.
ACUGACCUAGACCACUAUUGUAAAGCUACCUAGAGACAAAAAACACUUACAAUAAAACACACGCCAUUGUGUGACUAACGCCAACUACCACAGGUACGGUAUUUCCGCCUUCUCCUCAGUUUUGCUCGCCGCGGAUUCGGUUACCCCUGGCAACUGGCACCCGGAAGCGGAUGAUCCUCCCGACGCAGCGUCAGGUCAGGGGUAUCCUAACGCUGCGUCCCAACGCCUGGGUCGUUCGUUUCUCUUCAUCUCUUCUCGAAGGCAUUUUAUCAUCUCACAUCAUCGCAAGCAGGGUGCUGAUGCUUGAUGCUUUUUGAUAGCAAAUGAGAGAAAACCAAGAAAAAAUGCUCAUUGUGCAUUAAGUCAUCUGGUUAUUUGAGCAUGGUUGAGAAUGUUGAAGAGGCAUCCCUGGUAUGUUCCAGAACAAGUAGGGAAGUACGACCACUCUACCAUUGUGCUGACUUUAUGGCAGAUGGACUGGAGGAAUGAAGGGGCAGGUGGCUGGUGUGAACCAGGGGUCCUGUAGAAGCAGCAGAGGUUAAAGCUGAGGCAGGAAUUGACGAGAAGUAAGAAUGCAGAAGCAACACACAAGUAUGUCUGGACUAUAUCUAAACAAACCUUUCUGACAGCAUAAAUCAAGAAGGAUAAAUCAUUCAGACAGGAGAAAUCUUUUGAACUGUGGACGGACAAGGCGAGUGAGAGGCACAGAGGGAAAAGGAAAACCUGUUGGAGAGAUCCUGAUGAUGAGACAGGAAUUCACAGAUGAGACUUGAAAUCAAACAUGCAAGUGCUUCCCCGCAGUUUACUUGCUUCCAGUCCCAACAGCUGAAAAGAAAUUUAAAUACAAUCUAAUGAAGUCCAACACUUCAUUUUACAGACGAGAAAACCGAGUCCCAGGAAGGUAAAGGAGUGUGUUCCAUGGAGCAAACCGAAUUCUGUUUCUAUUUCUGGUGACAGGAUGCAAUGUCAUAUUGAAGAGAUGUGUUAAGUUGCAAGUCAUAGAAAAUCAAAAACUUAAGAUAGUUUUGAAAACUGGAGUCCUUAUAACAACUAUUCUUUUUGUCAGACACAUAUUAUUUUGAGCCACUAUGCUGUCUUAGAAGCUUUCCUCCGCUCCAUGCAAGGAUAUGAUCAUUCAUUGGCCCCUUAAUUUACAGAUCUGUGCCACCCCAUACAGUAGCCAUCAGCCACAUAUGACUAUUUAAUUGAAUUUUAAGUUAAUUAAAAUUAUGUGAAAAUAAAAAUUUAGUUCCUCUGUUACUCUAGCCACAUUUCAAGUACUCGACAGCUACAUGUGGCAAGAGGCUGCUAUAUUGGAGGGGCACACAUAGAAGUUUCCAUCGUUGCUGAAAGUUCUCUUAGGCGGUACUGUUAUGGAUCACCAUUCAGGGCACGAAGAGAGUAGAACACCAAGUCAGGCACAUAAUGUGAUGGGCUAAUCCAGGGUGUAGCAUCUAAAAGUGUGGAUCUUAUGGGGCGCCUGGGUGGCUCAGUUGGUUAAGCAUCUGACUUCAGCCUAGGUCAUGAUCUCGCCAUUCCUCUGACAGCCCCUCCUGAGUUCAAGCCCCUCCUCUGACAGCUCAGACCCUGAAGCCUGUUUCAGAUUCUGUGUCUCCCCCUCUUUCUCUGUCCCUUCCCCACUCACACUCUGUGUCUCUCUCUCAGAAGUAAAGAAACAUUAAAAACAUUAAAAUAAAAGUAUGUGUUUCAUAAUCUAUGGGUCCCUAAACAACUUCUCAGCCAGCUAUGGAAAACCAGCAGGGCUAUGUUUUUUUGAUUUCUCCAGCCCUCUUUCUCCUCCUACUUGUGCCUUCUCUAAUAUUCUCCUUUUUUUUGAGUGUUUUAUAAUCUUGUGGGUACCUUAUUUAUUCCUUCUUGUGUGCAUGAUUCGAUUCCAUUCCACAACAUCCAGUGGAUACGUACCGUGUGACAGACGUUGCACUUACAUAACAAAAAGGAAACAUCAGAUGCUCAGUCAUCACUGAGUGGGUCGGGAGGAAAAUACGUGUCCAGAGCCCAAGCCGCACAGGGACUGAACUUCUCAGACCAUUCGAAUUGGCAAAAACGAGAAUUAUGAGCAAAACUAUGUAGACUAAUAGAUGGAAGCUUAUUUCGAGGGGUUUAGUGACUUGCCCAAAAUAAUACUGAUGGUAAAAAAACAAACAAACAAACAAACAAACAAAAAGUGUCCUCAGACUGGAAUCCAUGUCUUUUUACAUUGAGUCCAGUGUUUUUCUCUAAUCCAUUCACGUCCCAGCGUAGAGACUGAUUUAUGCCAAAUUCAUAGUUUCUUUUGAUAUCUGCCAAUGAAUCAUCAAAUAAGUUGUGUCUUGCAUAUAUUGACAUUCUUUCUUUUUAAGCCCAAUUUUCUCAAUCUCUUUGAACAAAGGCAGACUUAUAUUUGCAUGGGCUUUUCUUUGGAGCCCUUAGCUAAGUGCUUCUAAAGGGUCCUCGUGUUGAAUUGAUCUGUGCUUGAUGUUCUACCAAUACUUUGAACUCUUACGUGUUGACAGAGUUUAAAUGUGAAUUAAACAAGUGCUCUUUCUAUUGAUAGAAAGGAUGUAUAUAUUUUUUAUCAGCUGGCAGAUGAAUAAAAUCACCUCGUUUGCAGGCAGUCAAGACGACGUGGGUAGUGUGCAGCUCUUCAGGUUGGUACUUCCCACGACCGUCUGUAUAACAGUGUGAUUCAUUCAGGGACACCUAAAUCCAGAUGCUAUUCGAACUCUAGGUCUUGUAUAGAUUUUCUCAUUCAGUGGCACUCGCGUGGAAAUUUGACCACACCACCCCAUCAGUCAAGUGGCUUUAACUGGGCCAAUUCUUGUCUCUGUACCACCUUCUUUGGAAGUGCUUCACCCACACCACGUGCUACUCAGUACGAAGGCUGGUAUGCUAGAUACUUUCCCCACACAUACAAGUUAUCGGUCAAAUGUUAAUUUUUAUGUUUUGGUGAAGUCUCCAAUAUCCUGUGUCGCUCGAACUUAUUUUAAUCGCAAAUUGUAUCAUAGUGGGAUGGUAGUGCGUGUAUUUAUAAAAUGAACCUAGUUAGAGAUUGUCCUUAUCUUCAUCCGUAGAAACUUUCGAUAACCUAUGGUGUUUUCUGAUCCUAUCCAUCAAAUUUGCCAUACAAGAUUUCACUGACUGAAAUUUUCCUAAUCUUUCAUAGAGCAUGACCUGAUGAUUCCAUUAUCUUUUUUCACUUUGUCAUACUCUCCUGCCAAAACAAAUAAAACAAAACAAACUAGCAAAAGUUCUCUCUAGGAUGAUUUUUCCACUUUUAAGUGCCUCACACCCCUUUCUGUCCAAUCCAUCAAUCCAAAGAGUCCUUUCUUUCUUUCUUUCUUUCUUUCUUUCUUUCUUUCUUUCUUUCCUUCUUUCUUUUUUAAUGUUUAUUUAUUUAUUUUGAGAGAGAGAAGGAGAGAGAGUGUGGUGUGUGCGUGAGCAGGAGAGGUGCAGAGGGACAGAAUCCCAAGCAGGCUCCACACUGUCAGUGAAGAGCUUGUCACAGGGUUUGAUCUCACAACUGUGAGAUCAUGACCUGAGGCGAAAUCAAGAAUGCAAUGCUUAACCAACUGAGCCCCCCGGGCACGCCCGAGAGUCUUUUCUUUCUUACCUACAAUUGAUUUGUUUCCCUCUUUCAAGGUUUUUCUCUAGUAUCUCAGAAUUCAAAGAUUCUCAUAACCAACAAUACUGUUCAUGUGUUUUAAAUACACUCUUCUUUGCAUAAGAAAGUACAUUUAUACAUUGAAUCAUAUAUACUGGCCAGUGUCAAGAAAUAAAUUAACGUUUUCAUAACACAAUACUCCCUAGCUUUGUGACUUUGGGCAAGUAACUAACAUUCUGGUCUCUAACGUUCUCGUCUGAAAAAUUACGUAAACGUAUAUAAUAAAAAGAAUUAAAUACAAAUUAUAAUAAAAAUAUAACAAAAAAAACACAACAAAAAGAAUUAUCUUUUUAAAAUUGAAUUCUUUUUAAAGAAUUUUUCUUUUUAAAAAGAAAUAAAAAUAUUGCUGGUAUUCUGUUUCCGUCAUUUGUCUUUGAAAAGGAUCUGUUAAGGAAAACAGUACCUCGCAAUUUUAUUCCCUAAUAGCUGUGUGACAGAGAAUAACUCAAUAUAUUCUUUUCUAGAAUUUGUUAUCACUAAUGAAAGUAAUUUGAAAAAAAUUUUUUGGUCGAAGAUAAAAUUUGUCAUUUUCUUGAGGAUUUUUAUGACUCACUGGUAGUAAGAAUGGAGCUGGAUAUUUUGCAAAAUAAAUAAAUCCUGAAACGAACUACAAAAAUAAGAAAAAAAAAACCUUUUUUUUUAAAAAAAUUUUUAUUUACAAAAAAAACCUUCGUAUGUUCAGCUUAAAAGUAGUUUUGUGUCAUUAAAAUGUAUCCCAGUUAAUAUUACAUAGCAUUAGAAAACUCCACCAUAUUCUUGAAUAAUCCACAUCUGGAAAUUGGCUGCACACUGAAAAUGACAUUUAUACUGAUUUCGGCUGGAAUCGUUUGUAUUUGUUCUGUGGCUUGGGAAUCUCUCCAUCCAGUGAAGGAGCACAGAGCUGACUUUCUCCUGGUCAUUUCUGUAAUACACACACCUCUCUCUCAUAGCCACAGCACACUUUAACUAGAUGACUUGGUUUUUGUUUUUUUUUGUUUUUUUGUUUUUGUAUCUUAUCACAUUGAGAUACGUGGCACAUACUAUUUCAAGGACAUUUUGUAUACAACAGACAAAUUCUAAAUCAGAGUGAUUACUUGAAAAAUAUUUUAGAAACCAAAAUAGACCAUCACUUUCUAGACUUUUCUUUUAAAUAUUUUUUUAAUGUUUAUUUAUUUUUGAGAGACAGAGUGUGAGCAGGGGAGGGGCAGAGUGAGAGAGAGAGGGAGACACAGAAUCUGAAACAGGUUCCAGGCUCUGAGCUGUCAGCACAGAGCCCACCUGGGGCUCAAACUCACAGACUGGGAGAUCAUGACCUGAGCCAAAGUCGGAUGCUAAACCGACUGAGCCUGCCAGGUGCUCCUACACUUUUCUUUUAAAUAAAAGUUACUUACGUGGUCUAUCUACUAACUAUACACUAACUUAAUCUUGCUGUGGCCCCAGCUCAAAUCUCAGGUAUGCCAAUGAAACCUUGCUCUUGUUUGGGUUCCUGUUAUGAAUACUUAAAGCACAUGUCGUUCAUUGCCAUAAGUGCCCCUCAGUAUGACUCUAUUGUCCACAGAGAAAAUGUUAGAUCCUGAAGUACAUGAACUAUUUAUGUGUCCUCGACAUGAGCAAAGCACCAGCCAGACUGUAAUACUUCUCCCCAAUAUAUAAAUUUAAUAAAAUUAUAUCACACAAAAAUUACUUCGGACAAAUUAGUCUUGAGCAACCCAAACCGAUAAGUGGAGAAAAAGAACAAUUAACAUAAACAAUUUGCUUUUAUCAAUUUGACCACAUAACUUUGUAUUCAGUUGGCACGUAAUCACUACUUACUGAUUUGCCAUGAAAGACCUUUGCUCCUUUCUGAUUCUAUGUUUGCCAACAUGCAGUUUAUAUU